Macaca fascicularis (crab-eating macaque) is the source of this 104-nucleotide small nucleolar RNA. NCBI's taxonomy places the organism in Eukaryota, Metazoa, Chordata, Mammalia, Primates, Cercopithecidae. The record is from Ensembl.
AUCCUUUUGUGAUUUGUAAACUUGAUGAUUAGGAUUUUAUGCUUAGGCGUGAGAUGUGCCUCCCUCAUAUCUUGUUAUGACAUUUGUACAUUACCCAUCUGAUU